Molecule: long non-coding RNA, 299 nt
Filed under: Hordeum vulgare
Lineage: Eukaryota; Viridiplantae; Streptophyta; Magnoliopsida; Poales; Poaceae
Description: long non-coding RNA (HVUL_LNC011317)
Source: RNAcentral
GACCUUCGGCGGGGCCCAACUCUUCCAUAUCAGCUUCCAAGAGCGGCAAGUGAUAGAUCCGUGGAAGGUGGCCUGGUAGCAUGACCUAGCUGUGUAGCUGCCGUUGGCCGUCCAUUUCCAGGUUAGCUUGUCUGGCUCAUGGGAAAGGGUGGCGCGAGACACCAGCAUCCAGAGUUGGAGGUACUGCCCAAUCUCCUGGAGGCCAAGGAUGCCGCGGAUGUCCCGCGCCCAAGCAUUGCCGAGAACGCCCUCCGCCAUCGUCCGCGAAUUCCUGCGAUUUUUGGGGAUGCACAUGUACA